GAACGCUGGCGGCGUGCCUAAUACAUGCAAGUCGUGCGCUCCACUUGUGGAGAGCGGCGAACGGGUGAGUAACACGUAACCAACCUACCCCUAUGACUGGGAUAACUACUGGAAACGGUAGCUAAUACCGGAUAGGUAAUAGAGACUUAUGUCUUUAUUAUUAAAGAUGCGUUUGCAUCACGAAGGGAUGGGGUUGCGCAGCAUUAGCUAGUUGGUGGGGUAAUGGCCUACCAAGGCGACGAUGUCUAGCUGAUUUGAGAGAAUGAUC
This 268-nucleotide ribosomal RNA is filed under the name uncultured bacterium. RNAcentral describes it as "partial 16S ribosomal RNA". It matches the Rfam family "Bacterial small subunit ribosomal RNA", at positions 31 to 305 of the family's 1533-position model. The record is from RNAcentral.